This 253-nucleotide ribosomal RNA is filed under the name uncultured bacterium. RNAcentral's name for it is "partial 16S ribosomal RNA". It matches the Rfam family "Bacterial small subunit ribosomal RNA", at positions 524 to 776 of the family's 1533-position model. The record is from RNAcentral.
UACGGGGGGGGCAAGCGUUGUUCGGAAUUACUGGGCGUAAAGGGCGCGUAGGCGGCCUACUAAGUCGGACGUGAAAUCCCUCGGCUCAACCGGGGAACUGCGUCCGAUACUGGUGGGCUUGAAUCCGGGAGAGGGAUGUGGAAUUCCAGGUGUAGCGGUGAAAUGCGUAGAUAUCUGGAGGAACACCGGUGGCGAAGGCGGCAUCCUGGACCGGUAUUGACGCUGAUGCGCGAAAGCGUGGGGAGCGAACAGG